GUCCAAUUGGGUCAUCAGGAGGGAUCAGCCAAUCGUGAAAAAUAAAAUGGACUACUUUAAAAUGGAGAUUGCCUCAAUUCGCUUAAUUCACCCGACGUGACACGUCACUUCCAGCUGAAUGAAUGGGAAACAGAGGCCGGAAACCUAGGCAACAUAGUCAAAAGUUGUACUGCUGCGUCCCUGGAUGUAACUCCUACAAAAGGAGGGAGUGAUGCAGAGAAUUAACUUUUCACAGUUUCCCCAAAGACUGCAAUCCGACGUCAAUGAGUGGUGAAAGUAAAGAGUUGUCAAACCACAUUAUAAGUUAACUGACAACAACCAAAGUGUGUUCAAAACACUUUGUUGUGGACUCCUUUUUAAAGACAAUAAGUGGGAAACGGAUGCUAAAGGAGCAGGUUGUGCCGACUGUGUUCACCUGGAUGUCCACCCCAAAGCCUGGCAGGAAGACCAUCAUCAGAAAAGCUGCAAGGUAGGCCUUCUAGCGUAGCUUACCCC
This 495-nucleotide long non-coding RNA is filed under the name Salmo salar (Atlantic salmon). RNAcentral's name for it is "lncRNA (ENSSSAG00000092964.1)". The record is from RNAcentral. Lineage: Eukaryota; Metazoa; Chordata; Actinopteri; Salmoniformes; Salmonidae.